Molecule: long non-coding RNA, 953 nt
Filed under: Eutrema salsugineum
Lineage: Eukaryota; Viridiplantae; Streptophyta; Magnoliopsida; Brassicales; Brassicaceae
Description: long non-coding RNA (ESAL_LNC000959)
Source: RNAcentral
GAGAUUCUUUCUCAAAACAAUCUAAAACAGCUCACCUCAAUGAGGACCUCUCUCAGUGAUAGAAUGGAUAAAUCUCAAUGAACGGCCCGAAAUCAUCUUUGGUUAAUAAAAACAAAACGCCUCGUCGUUAUACAUGGCUCGGCAUCAUAUAAUGAAACCGCCUUGUCGUUAUACAGGGCUCGGCAUCAUCUAAUGAAAACAACUCGCCGUUAUCAUUAAACACGGCUCGGCAUUGCCAAUGAAAAUUGCCUCGUCGUUAUCGCUAAACACGGCUCGGCGUCAUCUAAACGAAGAUGCCUCGUUGCCUAUGCAUUAUCUUCGAUCGUUACCUAGGCAUCAUUUUACUGUACUCAUCGCCUAGGCAUCACCUAGGCAUUAUCUCGGCUCGUUGCCUAGGCAUUAUUUUGGCUCGUCGCCUAGACAUUAUCUCGGCUUGUCGCCUAGGCAUCAUCUUGCCUUUUUCGCCUAGGCAUCAUCUUGCCUCGUCGAGAUCAUCUCGCCGCCUAGCCAUCAUCGGCUCGUUGCCUAGGCAUCACCUCGCCUUGUCUCUUAGACAUUAGGUCGGCUCGUUGCCUAGGCAUUAUCUCUACUCGUCGUCCAUGCAUUAUCUCGGCUCGUCGCCUAGGCAUCAUCUUGCCUCGUCGGCUAGGUGUCAUCUUGUAUCAUCGCCUAUCCACCAUCGGCUCAUCGCCUAGACAUCAUUUUACCUCGUCGCCUAGGCAUCCUCUUGCCUUGUCGCCUAGCCGUUAACUCGGCUCGGCAGCUAGGCAUCCUCUUGCAUUGUCGCCUAGCCAUCAUUUCGGCUCGUCGGCUAGGCGUCAUCUUGGCUCGUCGCCUAGGCAUCCUCGUGCCUUGUCGCCUAGCCAUUAACUCGGCUCGGCGGCUAGGCAUCCUCUUUCGUUAUCACCUAGCCGUCAUCGGCUUGUCGCCUAAGUGUCAUCUUGUAUCAUCGC